GGGUAAAGGCCCACCAAGGCGACGAUCAGUAGCCGGCCUGAGAGGGGUGAACGGCCACACUUGGGACUGAGACACGGCCCAAACUCCUACGGAAGGCAGCAG
Molecule: ribosomal RNA, 102 nt
Filed under: uncultured bacterium
Lineage: Bacteria
Description: partial 16S ribosomal RNA
Rfam family: Bacterial small subunit ribosomal RNA
Source: RNAcentral